AUUGAACGCUGGCGGCAGGCCUAACACAUGCAAGUCGAGCGGAUGAAGGGAGCUUGCUCCUGGAUUCAGCGGCGGACGGGUGAGUAAUGCCUAGGAAUCUGCCUGGUAGUGGGGGAUAACGUCCGGAAACGGGCGCUAAUACCGCAUACGUCCUGAGGGAGAAAGUUGGGGAUCAUCGGACCUCACGCUAUCAGAUGAGCCUAGGUCGGAUUAGCUAGUUGGUGGGGUAAAGGCCUACCAAGGCGACGAUCCGUAACUGGUCUGAGAGGAUGAUCAGUCACACCGGAACUGAGACACGGUCCAGACUCCUACGGGAGGCAGCAGUGGGGAAUAUUGGACAAUGGGCGAAAGCCUGAUCCAGCCAUGCCGCGUGUGUGAAGAAGGUCUUCGGAUUGUAAAGCACUUUAAGUUGGGAGGAAGGGCAGUAAGUUAAUACCUUGCUGUUUUGACGUUACCAACAGAAUAAGCACCGGCUAACUUCGUG
This 484-nucleotide ribosomal RNA is filed under the name uncultured bacterium. RNAcentral describes it as "partial 16S ribosomal RNA". It matches the Rfam family "Bacterial small subunit ribosomal RNA", at positions 30 to 507 of the family's 1533-position model. The record is from RNAcentral.